CGUGACCCGGGCUACCCCAGCGUGACCCGGGCUACCCCCAGCGUGACCCGGGCUACCCCCAGCGUGACCCGGGCUACCCCCAGCGUGACCCGGGCUACCCCCAGCGUGACCAGGUCUACCCCCAACGUGACCAGGUCUACCCCCAGCGUGACUAGGUCUACCCCAGCGUGACUAGGGCUGCCCCCAGCGUGACUAGGACUACCCAGAGUAAACUGCCCCCAGCGUGACUAGGUCUACCCCCAGCGUGACUAGGUCUACCCCCAGCGUGACUAGGUCUACCCCCAGCGUGACUAGGACUACCCAGAGUAAACUGCCCCCAGCGUGACUAGGACUACCCAGAGUAAACUACCCCCAGCGUGACUAGGGCUACCCCCAGCGUGACUAGGGCUGCCCCCGGCGUGACUAGGACUGCCCCCGGCGUGACUAGGACUGCCCCCGGCGUGACUAGGACUGCCCCCGGCGUGACUAGGACUGCCCCCGGCGUGACUAGGACUGCCCCCGGCGUGACUAGGACUGCCCCCGGCGUGACUAGGACUGCCCCCGGCGUGACUAGGACUGCCCCCGGCGUGACUAGGACUGCCCCCGGCGUGACUAGGACUGCCCCCGGCGUGACUAGGGCUACCCCCAGCGUGACUAGGACUGCCCAGAGUAAACUACCCCCAGCGUGACUAGGACUGCCCAGAGUAAACUACCCCCAGCGUGACUAGGGCUGCCCCCAGCGUGACUAGGGCUGCCCCCAGCGUGACUAGGGCUGCCCCCAGCGUGACUAGGGCUACCCAGAGUAAACUACCCCCAGCGUGACUAGGGCUACAUAGACUCUGCCUGAAAGCUGGCAUUGGGAACAACAGUACGCUUCUCCUGAGACUAAUUCUACUUAGCUGUUUGUAGCCGGAGCAUCAAGAGAGCGGGUGUACUACUGCAGCAGUGUUUACUGCAGGCCUGGUACUGGUCCCCCUUUCCAAUCUGCUGCUACAGGAACACACCUAAAGCACUCGCAAGGUCCUUCCUCUUUCUCUGAACAACAUCCCGUUCAUACAGAUGUGAUUGUACUGUGGUGUGUAUAUUUUUUUUCUUUUUAAGUGAACAAUGUUUUGUAGUCUCUGUUAAUGAAGUGCUUAUGCUGAUCAUGUACCAGGUAGCACUUCUGAUAUAUAUUUUUUAAAAUUUUUUUGUUUUUAGUAACGAAGAGACUUAUAUGGACAGCAUCAGUAUUCAUUGAUGGUAUAACACUAAUGAGGUAUGUGAAGAAAUGUGACAACUUAGCUGUGAUUUAAAAGCAAUCCUGUUUGGAAUCAAACCAAAGAUGCGGGGGAGCUUCUAUUGGCUGAAGUGGUUCCCGCUGAAUGUACUCAGACCCCCUUAUUCCACGUUGUGUUAAAGCCUGAAAUAUAAUAUAAUAAUCUAUUUUGAAUGCUGUCGCCCAUCUACACACAAUACAAAAGUGAAAAACAGAAAUAGCUCAUUUUAUAGAAAUAUUCAACCCCCUGAGUCAAUACAUGUUAGAAUCACCUUUGGAAGGGAUUACAGCUGUGAGUGUUUCUGGGUAAGUCUCUAAGAGCUUUGCACAUCUUUUUUUUUUUUACAAAUUCUUUAAGCUCUGUCAAGUUCGUUGUUCAUCAUUGCUAGACAGCCAUGUUCAAGUCUUGCCAUGGAUUUUAAUGCUGAUUUAAGUCCAAACUAACUCAGCCAUUCAGGAACAUUCACUGUCGUCUUGGUAAGCAACUGUAGUGUAUAUUUGGCCUUGUGUUUUAGGUUAUUGUCCUGCUGAAAGGUGAAUGUGUCUCCCAGAAAGUAGACGGAACCAGGUUUUCCUCUAGGAUUUUGUCUGUGUUUAACUAUAUCCUGUUUCUUUUUAUCCUAAAAAAAACUGCCUAGUCGUUGCCAAUGACAAACAUACCCAUAACAUGAUGCAGCCACCACCAUGCUUGAAAAUAUGGUGGUACUUGGUGAUGUUGUUUGCUCCAAACAUAACGCUUUGUUUUCAGGACAAACUUAAUUUCUUUGCCGCAGUUUUGCUUUAGUGCCUUAUUGCAAACAGGAUGCAUGUUUUGGAAUAUUUUUUAAUUCUGUACAGGCUUCCUUUUCACACUGUAAUUUAGGUUAGUAUUGUAGAGUAACAACAAUGUUGUUGAUCCCAUCCUCAGUUUUCUAUCAUAGUGAAAUCCCUGAAUGGUUUCCUUCCUCACCGGUAACUAAGCUAGGAAGGACAUCUGUAUCUUUGCAGUGACUUGUGUAUUGAUACACCAUCCAAAGUGUAAUUAAUAACUUCAACAUGCUCAAAGGGAUAUUCACAAAGUUUUUUUUUUUACCCAUCUACUAGGUUCCCUUCUUUACGAGACAUUGGAAAACCUCCCUGGUCUGUGUGGUUCGACUUGUUUGAAAUUCACUGCUCGACUGAGGGACCUUGCAUGUGUGGGGUAGUCAUUAAAAAAAAUCUAACACGAUUAUUGCACACAGAGUCCAUGCAACUUAUGACUUGUUAAGCAAAUUUGUACUCCUGAACUUAUUUAGGCUUUCCCCUUAACAAAGGGGUUGAAUACUUAUUGACUCGAGACAUUUCCGCUUUUCACGUUUUGUAGAAAAUUUCAAAAACAUAAUUUAAUAUUAUGAGGGUAUUGUGCGUAGACCAGUGACUCAAUCUCAUUCAUUUUCAAUUCAGGCUGUAACACAAACAAAAUGUGUAAAUAGUCAAAGGGGUGUGAAUGCAUUGUAUCCAUCUUUCGUUAUGAAUCUAGGCCUAAUUAGACUUUGUUUGAAGAAAAAUAAGUGAAAUAAAAAAAAUGGAACCUUUUUUGGUUUUCACAAGUUCCCCCAAUAGUGGAAACAAGUAUUUAAGAAUCUCUUUGAAUGUGUGCUCUCCUUUUUUAACUUGCUAUAUGUGUAUGUAUAUAUAUAUAUAUAUGUGUGUUGUUGUCAUUGACAACCGUGCUGUAGCCCUUUGUCAUCGUUUUAUGCAUUGAGUUUGUUUGGGGUAGUCACUGACUUGUGAACGCAUUACACUGUGCAGCAUUGUAGCAAAUGACACUUAAGUCUAACUAUCAGUAGGAAUAUGUAUAAUCAUAUGCUGUUCAGCGAGUUGAACCUGCAGAUCUGUUGUUCUGGAGUACAGGCUAACAAAACAAUGCUCAUAUGAAGUGCUGAUUGACUGUGUUGUCUGUUUUUUUCUUUCUUGAUCUGUUAAGACUGCUGGGACCUUGUUUAGUGUUAAAGCUACAGGUGACAUAGACCCUGUCUGCCUUAGAGGAUAAAGCUACAGUCAUAUGCCUGUUCUUUCUAUUGAAGACCCUACUAGGGUUAUGUGCAAUGACAAUGUUUUGUAAAUGUGUAGUAUUUAACCUUUUUAAAGUUGUAGAAUGACAAGCUUGUAUUUUUCUCAAUAUUUAUAAAUACUACAGUACUACCCUUGAGCAGGUUCAUACAUGCGAUGGUUGUCUGUUGGCACACAGGGAUCGGGGCGUGUAAUGAUAAAGCAUCUCUGAGUAGGACUGCUGGAUCUCGGAUCAAGUCUCGCUGGUCCAUGUAAUAUUCAUUGUAAUCUAAAACUGAUAAUAAGUAAUCCUACUCUGAAACGCUGUAAGAAUACAGGCCCUUGUGUUGGAAGUGUCUAAAAAUCAAUUUUGUCGUAGGUUCUUACUUUCUAUGGUUUUGUACAUUAACUUCCAAGUUGUGGUAAUAAAAUACAUAUUGGAUAACAGAACCAAGUUAAAAUCAAGUUAAAUUGCAUUAGACAACAAAAUUAUGGCAAAAUAAAUAUUAACCGAUGGGUUCCAUGUCAGCCACCAAUUGUGCAAGUUCUCCCACUUAAAGAUGAGAGGCUGUAGUGGAGUUUGGAGCGUGACUGUUUGAGGUUGUGGACAGGUGUCUUUUAUACUGAUAACAAGUUCAAACAGGUGCCAUUAAUACAGGUCUCUUAAAGAAUACAGCCUCUUAAAGAAGUUACAGGUCUGAGAGCCAGAAAUCUUGCUUGUUUGUAGGUGACCAAAUACUUAUUUUCCACCAUAAUUUGCAAAUAAAUUCAUCAAAAAUC
This is a long non-coding RNA of Oncorhynchus nerka (sockeye salmon), 4027 nucleotides long. RefSeq lists it as uncharacterized. The transcript has 2 exons. NCBI's taxonomy places the organism in Eukaryota, Metazoa, Chordata, Actinopteri, Salmoniformes, Salmonidae. The record is from RefSeq and is a predicted model, not a curated record.